This 3122-nucleotide unclassified non-coding RNA is filed under the name Polistes canadensis. RNAcentral's name for it is "protein enhancer of sevenless 2B, transcript variant X3". Lineage: Eukaryota; Metazoa; Arthropoda; Insecta; Hymenoptera; Vespidae. The record is from RNAcentral.
UCGGGUAAGUUCGGCUGAAGUCGGUGACGUCAACGUGCGCAAUAGUUCAGUGCGCAUUGACGAAGGAAAGAGAGAGAAGGAGAAUAUUGAGGAUGAAACGCAAAGAGAGCACGGUUAUACCGGGCGAGGAGAGAGUGUAACGCCUGAUAAGACCGAGCGAUGGUCGCUCUCGUGAGAGUGCGUGAUCCGAGCAACGUACCUUUUCUAUUUUGACAGUUCUACCUUUCGUCCCGUUGAAGAAAAACAGAUAAGGAUAAUAUCUGAGGAAAUUUAAUAUCGGAAUAAAAACUGUACUUUUUUAAAUACACAGGUAUCACAACACAACGGAUCCGCCAUUAUACUUUGUGUCUCUCUCUGUUUUAUUAUUUUUUAUUUUCCUUUUUUUGACUCGAUACACAAGCUUCUCUCUCUCUCUCUCUUUCUCUCUUUUCUUUGAUCGUUUCACUUUACCCUUUCUCUCGAUUUCAUAGAACGAGGAUGCAAGUUGUCGUGAUCGUAGUUUAGUUCGUUCGCGGGUGUCAUUGAACGCCGUUGAAUUUGAAUAGAGUGCGAGAGAGAUAGGUAGACGGACAGAGAGAGAUAUAUAAAAUAGAAAAGGAAAGCUUAAAAGAGACAAAGACGAAAAGUGGGAGAUCGUGAGUCAAAAAAUUUUUGGUAAUAUUCUUUGAUACAUACGGGGUAGAGAGAGAAAUCAAAAAGCAGUGUAUUGUGUUUGCUGCUGCUGCUGUGCGCGAACGUGAGAUAUUGGUGAUGUGUUUGUAAGUGCGCGUCUUUAAAGCUUUUUCGUACAAGUUUUAUAUAUAUACUACAUAUACAAUAUACGUGCAACGAGCCACCUUCGUUUCAUCCAACGAUAUGCUAAUUCAGUGAAAACUGGGAAGCAAGUGCUAUUCGAAAAAGAAAUCGAACGAUCAACAAAUUUUCCUAACUCUUCUCUUCCUCCUUCUGCUACUGCUCUUGUGUUACGUUUCGGAGUUUCCUUAUUUUUCUUUCCCUUUCCUUUUCUUAUUUUCUUUCUUCCUCUUUUCCUUUUUUUUACAUUCACAGACAAAGGUGACCGCCUUUGGUGCCGCCUCGAGGACUGGCUCUCAUUCUUUCUCUCUCUGUGAUAUAGCUUUUUCUCUUUCUCUUUCUAUCUCUUUCCCCUACUCCUACUCCUCUUUUAUCCUUCUCGCUCUUUUUCUCUUGUUCUUUUCCUUCUCUUCGUUCCUCUCUCGGUCCUCUUCACCGCAAUCCGUCUAGUAUAUACACGCGCGUUCGACCCUCGAGGGAAAAAGAAGUGGAAGAAAGAGAAGGAGGAAUAAGAAAAAGAAAGAAAAAAAGUAAAAGAAGAAUAAGAAGAAGGAUAAGACGAAGAAGAAGAAUGGAGGCGGUAGCCAAGCACGACUUUACCGCGACAGCCGAGGAUGAGCUUAGCUUUCGCAGGUGUCAAGUCCUUAAGAUUUUGAAUAUGGAGGAUGAUAUAAAUUGGUUCAGAGCCGAAUUAGAUUCCAGAGAAGGACUCAUUCCAAGUAAUUACAUAGAAAUGAAAAAUCACGAUUGGUAUUACGGAAAGAUUACAAGAGCAGAUGCAGAAAGGCUAUUAAUGAAUAAGCAUGAAGGUGCCUUUCUGAUUAGAAUCAGUGAAAGCUCUCCUGGAGACUUUUCACUAUCUGUAAAAUGUUCAGAUGGUGUGCAACAUUUUAAAGUAUUAAGAGACGCUCAAGGCAAGUUUUUUCUUUGGGUUGUUAAGUUUAAUAGUUUGAAUGAACUGGUAGAAUAUCAUCGUACAGCAUCUGUAUCACGUUCGCAAGAUGUUAAAUUACGUGAUAUGAUUCCUGAAGAGUGUUUAGUGCAAGCAUUAUAUGACUUUGCUCCACAAGAACCUGGUGAAUUGGAGUUCAGGCGGGGAGAUGUAAUAACUGUUACAGAUCGCACAGAUCAGCAUUGGUGGCAUGGGGAAAUUGGUAAUAGAAGAGGACUGUUUCCAUCUACCUACGUUACUCCCUAUCACUCCUAGGUUGUAGAAAAAGAACAAAUGAAUCUUCUGUUUUAGGCCUGAUUUAAUAUAUAAUGCAGGUCUCAACUAUUGACCGCCUUAUCCCACCAUCAAUCAUAUACAGAAUGAUCAGUUUCGCUGCAAAAAUACCACUAAUCGAAGAAACCGGGACCUUGGCGAGAAAAGGGCCUAGUUACAAAAAAUAAAAUAAAAUAACAAUUGCAUAAGAAAUCUUACUAAAAAAAAGAACAAAACAAAAUUAUAAUAAUAAUAACUUUAUAUACGAACGUGUAUAGCGUUUAAAAAGAAAAAAAAAAAAGCGCAUCGCCUUUUGGCAUUAGACAAUUUUUUGUUGUCUCUUUUUAUCGUCAAUAUUUUCGCAAAUGAAUAAAAGAAGAAGAGAGAAAGCAUUUCUUUUCUUACGUUUUUAUUAUACGUUCGAUAAAUAACGCGAAUAUUUCAGAUAUAUUAUCUGUACCAUACACAUACACACACACACACAUACACAUACAGCGUACACACAUAUACAAAUACGAAUAGACUAAAUAUAUAUAUAUAUUAUAUAUAUAUAUGAAUAAAAAAGAAAAAAAGCUUGUUCGAUUUUUAGUCAUAAGGAAAUAUUGAAAGAAUUGGUGUAAUCUGUUUUAAAAAGUUAUUAUUAUUAAUUAUCAUUGUUUCUCUCUUUCUCUCUCUGAUCAUCUAUAUUAUACAUACAUAAGCAGUUAAAGCGCUUAAAGAGAUUUAUUUUGUAAUUAAAAGAAUCUUAUGGAAUGCGUCAGGUUUGAAAAAUAAUAAUUAUAAUAAUAAAAAAUAAUUUUUGUUUUAUUUUAGAGAUUUACUAUUUAGCGGGGAGAGACAAAUACUACAUAUACAAAAAUAUUGAAGAAGAUAAUCAUAUAAGAUUAUUUAAAAUAAAUAUUCUGACUGAUUAUCUUUGACACAAUUGUGUAAGAAAUAUUACAUGAAUGCAGAAAUAUAAAGAAAUACGAAUACUUCAUAUGAUAAAAACACUAUUGCUAUUUAAAAAAAAAAAAAAAGAAAAAAAAAAUAGUAAACAAAUAUUGCUAAUAUGCACUUUAUUUGUCUAGCAAAUUUUUUAAUCUGCCUAUUUCUCAUUUGUUGCAAACAAAAAUAAAAAAAAAAA